RNAcentral lists this ribosomal RNA (251 nucleotides) under Mus caroli (Ryukyu mouse). RNAcentral describes it as "partial 16S ribosomal RNA". Lineage: Eukaryota; Metazoa; Chordata; Mammalia; Rodentia; Muridae. The record is from RNAcentral.
AUGAACACUCUGAACUAAUCCUAGCCCUAGCAACACAAAACACAACUAUUUUACUACCUAAACCAAAACAUUUAAUUUACUUAUAGUAUUGGAGAAAGAAAUAAACGAAUAUACCUAGGAGCCAUAGAGUAAGUACCGUAAGGAAAGAUGAAAGACUAAUUAAAAGUAAAAAAAAGUAAAGAUUAAACCUUGUACCUUUUGCAUAAUGCAUUAACUAGAAAACUUCUAACUAAAAGAAUUGUAGCUAGAAA